This 869-nucleotide ribosomal RNA is filed under the name uncultured archaeon. Its description in RNAcentral is "bacterial SSU rRNA". It matches the Rfam family "Archaeal small subunit ribosomal RNA", at positions 5 to 879 of the family's 1478-position model. The record is from RNAcentral.
CGGUUGAUCCUGCCGGAGGUCACUGCUAUUGGGAUUCGACUAAGCCAUGCGAGUCGAGAGGGUUCGGCCCUCGGCUGACGGCUCAGUAACACGUGGAUAAUCUGCCCUUAGGUGGAGGAUAAUCUCGGGAAACUGAGGAUAAUACUCCAUAGAUCUAGGAUGCUGGAAUGCAUCUAGAUUGAAAGCUCCGGCGCCUAAGGAUGAGUCUGCGGACUAUCAGGUUGUAGUCAGGGUAAAGACCUGACUAACCUACGACGGAUACGGGUUGUGAGAGCAAUAACCCGGAGACGAUAUCUGAGACACGAUAUCGGGCCCUACGGGGCGCAGCAGGCGCGAAACCUUCACACUGUGCGAAAGCGCGAUGAGGGAAUCCCAAGUGCUUGCACGUAAGUGUAAGCUGUUUUUGUGUAUAAAAAGCAUAGAGAGUAAGAGCUGGGUAAGACGGGUGCCAGCCGCCGCGGUAAUACCUGCAGCUCAAGUGGUGACCACUAUUAUUGGGCCUAAAACGUUCGUAGCCGGUUUAGUAAAUGCCUGGGUAAAUCGAGCCGCUUAACGGUUCGACUUCCGGGUAGACUGCUAAACUUGAGACCGGGGGAGGCUAGAGGUACUCCUGGGGUAGAGGUGAAAUUCUGUAAUCCUGGGGGGACCACCAGUGGCGAAGGCGUCUAGCUAGAACGGGUCUGACGGUGAGGGACGAAGCCCUGGGGCGCAAACCGGAUUAGAUACCCGGGUAGUCCAGGGUGUAAACGCUGCUUGCUUGAUGUUAGUUGGGCUCUGAGCCCGAUUAGUGUCGGAGAGAAGUUGUUAAGCAAGCUGCCUGGGAAGUACGGUCGCAAGGCUGAAACUUAAAGGAAUUGGCGGGGGAGCAC